This 530-nucleotide ribosomal RNA is filed under the name uncultured Glomus. RNAcentral's name for it is "SSU rRNA". It matches the Rfam family "Eukaryotic small subunit ribosomal RNA", at positions 561 to 1092 of the family's 1831-position model. Lineage: Eukaryota; Fungi; Glomeromycota; Glomeromycetes; Glomerales; Glomeraceae. The record is from RNAcentral.
CUGGUGCCAGCAGCCGCGGUAAUUCCAGCUCCAAUAGCGUAUAUUAAAGUUGUUGCAGUUAAAAAGCUCGUAGUUGAAUUUCGGGGUUAGUAGGUUGGUCAUGCCUCUGGUAUGUACUGGUCUCACUGAUUCCUCCUUCCUGAUGAACCUUAAUGCCAUUAAUUGGUNUUUUGGGGAAUUUGGACUGUUACUUUGAAAAAAUUAGAGUGUUUAAAGCAAGCUAACGCUUGAAUACAUUAGCAUGGAAUAAUGAAAUAGGACGUUCGAUCCUAUUUUGUUGGUUUCUAGGGAUUGACGUAAUGAUUAAUAGGGAUAGUUGGGGGCAUUAGUAUUCAAUUGUCAGAGGUGAAAUUCUUGGAUUUAUUGAAGACUAACUACUGCGAAAGCAUUUGCCAAGGAUGUUUUCAUUAAUCAAGAACGAAAGUUAGGGGAUCGAAGACGAUCAGAUACCGUCGUAGUCUUAACCAUAAACUAUGCCGACUAGGGAUCGGAUGAUGUUAAUUUUUUAAUGACUCAUUCGGCGCCUUACG